GAUGAAGAACGCAGCGAAAUGCGAUAAGUAAUGUGAAUUGCAGAAUUCAGUGAAUCAUCGAAUCUUUGAACGCACAUUGCGCCCGCCAGUAUUCUGGCGGGCAUGCCUGUUCGAGCGUCAUUUCAACCAUCAAGCCCCCGGCUUGUGUUGGGGACCUGCGGCUGCCGCAGGCCCUGAAAACCAGUGGCGGGCUCGCUGUCACACCGAGCGUAGUAGAUUUUCAUCUCGCUCAGGGCGUGCUGCGGGUUCCGGCCGUAAAAAGCCUUAUUUACCCAAGGUUGACCUCGGAUCAGGUAGGAAGACCCGCUGAACUUAAGCAUAUCAAUAAGCGGAGGGA
This 337-nucleotide unclassified non-coding RNA is filed under the name soil metagenome. RNAcentral's name for it is "partial contains 5.8S ribosomal RNA, internal transcribed spacer 2, and large subunit ribosomal RNA". The stretch from base 1 to 120 matches the Rfam family "5.8S ribosomal RNA", at positions 35 to 154 of the family's 154-position model. The record is from RNAcentral.